AACGGAGGGGGCAAGUGUUAUUCGUAUUGACUGGGUGUAAAAUGUAUGUAGAUGGUUUCUUCUGUUUAAUAUUAAUUCUAAUACGAAUAAUAUAGUAAAAUAUUAAAUACAAUUUAACUUGAGUUUAUAAGAAAGAAAUAGUACUUUAAAUGUAAAAAGUGAAAAAGUAAAAAAUAUUUAACGGACUAACAAUAGGCGGAAAGCAGUUU
RNAcentral lists this ribosomal RNA (209 nucleotides) under uncultured bacterium. Its description in RNAcentral is "partial 16S ribosomal RNA". The record is from RNAcentral.